Molecule: ribosomal RNA, 375 nt
Filed under: uncultured organism
Description: partial 16S ribosomal RNA
Rfam family: Bacterial small subunit ribosomal RNA
Source: RNAcentral
GUAGGUGGCAAGCGUUGUCCGGGAAUUAUUGGGGCGUAAAGCGCGCGCAGGCGGUUCUUUAAGUCUGAUGUGAAAGCCCAUGGGCUCAACCGUGGAGGGUCAUUGGAAACUGGAGAACUUGAGUACAGAAGAGGAAAGCGGAAUUCCACGUGUAGCGGUGAAAUGCGUAGAGAUGUGGAGGAACACCAGUGGCGAAGGCGGCUUUCUGGUCUGUAACUGACGCUGAGGCGCGAAAGCGUGGGGAGCAAACAGGAUUAGAUACCCUGGUAGUCCACGCCGUAAACGAUGAGUGCUAAGUGUUAGGGGGUUUCCGCCCCUUAGUGCUGCAGCUAACGCAUUAAGCACUCCGCCUGGGGAGUACGGCCGCAAAGGCUG